GACGAACGCUGGCGGCGUGCUUAACACAUGCAAGUCGAGCGGUAAGGCCUCUUCGGGGGUACACGAGCGGCGAACGGGUGAGUAACACGUGGGUGACCUGCCCUCAGCUCUGGGAUAAGCCUGGGAAACUGGGUCUAAUACCGGAUAUGACCUUUCCUCGCAUGGGGUUUGGUGGAAAGUUUUUUCGGCUGGGGAUGGGCCCGCGGCCUAUCAGCUUGUUGGUGGGGUGAUGGCCUACCAAGGCGACGACGGGUAGCCGGCCUGAGAGGGCGACCGGCCACACUGGGACUGAGACACGGCCCAGACUCCUACGGGAGGCAGCAGUGGGGAAUAUUGCGCAAUGGGCGGAAGCCUGACGCAGCGACGCCGCGUGGGGGAUGACGGCCUUCGGGUUGUAAACCUCUUUCGACCCCGACGAAUUUUGACGGUAGGGGUAGAAGAAGCACCGGCCAACUACGUG
This 460-nucleotide ribosomal RNA is filed under the name uncultured bacterium. RNAcentral describes it as "partial 16S ribosomal RNA". It matches the Rfam family "Bacterial small subunit ribosomal RNA", at positions 28 to 507 of the family's 1533-position model. The record is from RNAcentral.